UACGGAGGGUGCAAGCGUUAUUCGGAGUUAUUGGGCGUAAAAGGCGUGUAGGCGGUCUGAACAGUCAGGUGUGAAAGCCCUUGGCUUAACCAAGGAAGUGCACUUGAAACUAUCAGACUUGAGUACGGGAGGGGGAAGUGGAAUUCCAGGUGUAGAGGUGAAAUUCGUAGAUAUCUGGAGGAAUACCGGUGGCGAAGGCGACUUCCUGGACCGAUACUGACGCUGAGACGCGAAAGCGUGGGGAGCAAAUAGG
This 253-nucleotide ribosomal RNA is filed under the name uncultured bacterium. Its description in RNAcentral is "partial 16S ribosomal RNA". It matches the Rfam family "Bacterial small subunit ribosomal RNA", at positions 524 to 776 of the family's 1533-position model. The record is from RNAcentral.